Molecule: long non-coding RNA, 403 nt
Filed under: Vigna radiata
Lineage: Eukaryota; Viridiplantae; Streptophyta; Magnoliopsida; Fabales; Fabaceae
Description: long non-coding RNA (VRAD_LNC005350)
Source: RNAcentral
GACGAGGGCGGGGAGUGAUCGCCGGUGCAAGAAGCAUGGUGCAGGGGGCACGGACAAGGAGCGGCUCCUGGCAGGCUUCGAGUGGAAGGGGCACAUGGACGAAUCGAACAUACACCGGAAUGAGAGGGAUCUGGAGACUGUAUAGGUAUGGGACUAUACAGUUGAAGGAUAUCUUAAAGGACUUGAUUUGGCUACCCAUAUCACCAAAAUGCAUUUACUUUUCGGAAGCCUAACCCAUAAGAACUCCAUGGUUAAGCGUGCUUAGCNUGGAGAAAUUCUGGGAUGGGUGACCUUCUGGGAAGUUUUCCUGGAAAGUGUGCGAGUGAGGACAAAACACACUGGAAAGUCUCGUGGUGAUGUAUGGGGGCAGUCAACAGUCCCUGUAAGUUGCCGGGGCGUUACA